Molecule: ribosomal RNA, 274 nt
Filed under: uncultured bacterium
Lineage: Bacteria
Description: partial 16S ribosomal RNA
Rfam family: Bacterial small subunit ribosomal RNA
Source: RNAcentral
AUACGGAGGGUGCAAGCGUUAUCCGGAAUCAUUGGGUUUAAAGGGUCCGUAGGCGGAUUGGUAAGUCAGUGGUGAAAGUCUGCAGCUUAACUGUAGAAUUGCCGUUGAUACUGCUAGUCUUGAAUUACUGUGAAGUGAUUAGAAUGUGUAGUGUAGCGGUGAAAUGCAUAGAUAUUACACAGAAUACCAAUUGCGAAGGCAGAUCACUAACAGUAUAUUGACGCUGAGGGACGAAAGCGUGGGGAGCGAACAGGAUUAGAUACCCUUGUAGUCC